Molecule: long non-coding RNA, 803 nt
Organism: Antechinus flavipes (yellow-footed antechinus)
Lineage: Eukaryota; Metazoa; Chordata; Mammalia; Dasyuromorphia; Dasyuridae
Exons: 3
Source: RefSeq, a predicted model, not a curated record
UGGGGAAGAAUUGUAGUGAAGUCAGGCGGAGGAGCAACGCGCAUGCGCAGGGAGUGACUGCGAGAGCUGGGACCUGGAGCAUCUCCGGGCCAGGAGAAGUCGACCUAGGCGACCCUCAUCUGUGGUGGCCGAUGCAGCCUCCCGCGCUGUUCCACCCGCUCCUCCCACGCCGCCCCUCCCCCCCAGCCCGCCCCCCGCGCUAAUUCGCGGGUGAGAUGCUGGAAGACUGUCGUCAGAUUUUAAUCUGAAAAGAGCUUUGGAAACCAUCAGCUCCUACCCCCUCACUUUACAGAUGAAGAUUUUGUGGCUAGGAUCACACAUAUAGACCUUCUGUGACCAUAUUCCUUCUCCAGAUGAGGAAACUGAAGCAAACAGGGUUAAGCGACUUGUCCAGGGCCACAUAGCUAAUAUUAGAAGCCACAUUUGAACUCAGGAAGAGUGGGGUCUACCUGAAUCCAAGCCCAGAGAGAGCCACCUAAUGGGCCAAGACUUUUCCCUAAAUCCUCAGAGGAAUUAAAACUUCAGAUAGGACAGUCAAUAGGGAAUUAGAGGAAGGACUGAACUAUCUCUAAGCUGAACACCAAUGGAGAAGUAAUGAUGUAAUUAGGGGUGGAGAUUCACAUUCAUUGUGGGGAAGUAUGAGCUCCAGAUAACUUGAGACUUCUGUAGUACUCAGCCAAUGGGGCAUCAGGGGAGGAACUUGAAUUUUGGAUAUAAUAAAGGAUAAAUAUUUAUUCCAGGCAUUCCUAUUCCACAGAGUACCCAUUUCUGCAGUUGUGUAAUUAAAAAUCUUUUAAACAUCA